This is a long non-coding RNA of Spodoptera frugiperda (fall armyworm), 1066 nucleotides long. RefSeq lists it as uncharacterized. Lineage: Eukaryota; Metazoa; Arthropoda; Insecta; Lepidoptera; Noctuidae. The transcript is spliced from 4 exons. The record is from RefSeq and is a predicted model, not a curated record.
GACUAUCGAUUGAAAUUAAAACAAAAUAAUAAAUGAGCCUUUAUUACUGAAGUUACAACUUUACGUUUCAUUUACUAUUAUUAUGCAUCGGUACUUUAAUGUCCAGCUUGAUCUUCGACAUUGGCUUCAUCGAAAGAUUUCCACUUUUCUCUAUCCCUCGCAAUUCUCAUAUGUUCUGGUCCAGCAGUUCUCCUUAGGUCAUCUUCCCAACGCUUUGGUUGUCGCCCUUUGCUCCUUUUUCCAUCUGUGGCAAUAUCAUUCUGAUAUUGUUUUCGAUGAUUUCAUAUUUUUCUGUUUAAUCAUUUGCUGGCCCUGCCACAUGUUCGCCAACUUAAUGUACUUAAUAUGAUAUUGAGUAAACAUUCCAUUAGAUAGUAUGUGUAAUUGUGUAUCUAUCUACUUAUCAAGACCCCAUGAAAUGUGUAAAAAUUAAAAAUGGAAAUCCAAUACAGGUGGCGACGAACGCAUUCCUGGCGAUGGGUGCAAGCGUUACGUGCGCACGUGUGUGGCCUACGUGACCUACCGCGUGUGUGGCGACAAAGCUCUCGAACUCCGGUCUCCUUCGAAAGCCGUCGACAGGUGGCGACGAACGCAUUCCUGGCGAUGGGUGCAAGCGUUACGUGCGCACGUGUGUGGCCUACGUGACCUACCGCGUGUGUGGCGACAAAGCUCUCGAACUCCGGUCUCCUUCGAAAGCCGUCGACAGGUGGCGACGAACGCAUUCCUGGCGAUGGGUGCAAGCGUUACGUGCGCACGUGUGUGGCCUACGUGACCUACCGCGUGUGUGGCGACAAAGCUCUCGAACUCCGGUCUCCUUCGAAAGCCGUCGACAGGUGGCGACGAACGCAUUCCUGGCGAUGGGUGCAAGCGUUACGUGCGCACGUGUGUGGCCUACGUGACCUACCGCGUGUGUGGCGACAAAGCUCUCGAACUCCGGUCUCCUUCGAAAGCCGUCGACAGGUCGAAAUACUUUUACUUAAUGUUGUUAAUUUUCAAAGAUAUUACAAAAGACACAAACUAGCGGCGACGGUAGCCGAAAUUUUAAAAGUUCUACGUCUGAAUCGGA